RNAcentral lists this ribosomal RNA (502 nucleotides) under Fusarium chlamydosporum. RNAcentral describes it as "eukaryotic LSU rRNA". The stretch from base 133 to 286 matches the Rfam family "5.8S ribosomal RNA". Lineage: Eukaryota; Fungi; Ascomycota; Sordariomycetes; Hypocreales; Nectriaceae. The record is from RNAcentral.
CCCAACCCCUGUGACAUACCUAUACGUUGCCUCGGCGGAUCAGCCCGCGCCCUGUAAAAAGGGACGGCCCGCCCGAGGACCCUAAACUCUGUUUUUAGUGGAACUUCUGAGUAAAACAAACAAAUAAAUCAAAACUUUCAACAACGGAUCUCUUGGUUCUGGCAUCGAUGAAGAACGCAGCAAAAUGCGAUAAGUAAUGUGAAUUGCAGAAUUCAGUGAAUCAUCGAAUCUUUGAACGCACAUUGCGCCCGCCAGUAUUCUGGCGGGCAUGCCUGUUCGAGCGUCAUUUCAACCCUCAAGCUCAGCUUGGUGUUGGGACUCGCGGUAACCCGCGUUCCCCAAAUCGAUUGGCGGUCACGUCGAGCUUCCAUAGCGUAGUAAUCAUACACCUCGUUACUGGUAAUCGUCGCGGCCACGCCGUAAAACCCCAACUUCUGAAUGUUGACCUCGGAUCAGGUAGGAAUACCCGCUGAACUUAAGCAUAUCAAUAAGCCGGAGGAAA